RNAcentral lists this ribosomal RNA (777 nucleotides) under uncultured bacterium. Its description in RNAcentral is "bacterial SSU rRNA". It matches the Rfam family "Bacterial small subunit ribosomal RNA", at positions 40 to 811 of the family's 1533-position model. The record is from RNAcentral.
CGAGCAGGCCUACACAUGCAGUCGAGCGCAGCACGGGUACUUGUACCUGUGGCGAGCGGCGGACGGGUGAGUAAGGCCUAGGAAUCUGCCUGGUAGUGGGGGAUACGGCUCGGAAACGGACGCUUAAUACCGCAUACGUCCUACGGGAGAAAGCAGUAGACCUUUCGGACCUUGCGCUAUCAGAUGAGCCUAGGUCGGAUUAGCUAGUUGGUGAGGUAAUGGCUCACCAAGGCGACGAUCCGUAACUGGUCUGAGAGGAUGAUCAGUCACACUGGAACUGAGACACGGUCCAGACUCCUACGGGAGGCAGCAGUGGGGAAUAUUGGACAAUGGGCGAAAGCCUGAUCCAGCCAUGCGGCGUGUGUGAAGAAGGUCUUCGGAUUGUAAAGCACUUUAAGUUGGGAGGAAGGGCAUUAACCUAAUACGUUGGUGUCUUGACGGUACCUAACCAGAAAGCCACGGCUAACUACGUGCCAGCAGCCGCGGUAAUACGUAGGUGGCAAGCGUUGUCCGGAAUUAUUGGGCGUAAGGCGCGCGCAGGCGGUCCUUUAAGUCUGAUGUGAAAGCCCACGGCUCAACCGUGGAGGGUCAUUGGAAACUGGGGGACUUGAGUGCAGAAGAGGAAAGCGGAAUUCCACGUGUAGCGGUGAAAUGCGUAGAGAUGUGGAGGAACACCAGUGGCGAAGGCGGCUUUCUGGUCUGUAACUGACGCUGAGGCGCGAAAGCGUGGGGAGCAAACAGGAUUAGAUACCCUGGUAGUCCACGCCGUAAACGAUG